RNAcentral lists this ribosomal RNA (253 nucleotides) under uncultured bacterium. RNAcentral describes it as "partial 16S ribosomal RNA". It matches the Rfam family "Bacterial small subunit ribosomal RNA", at positions 524 to 776 of the family's 1533-position model. The record is from RNAcentral.
UACGAAGGGGGCUAGCGUUGCUCGGAAUGACUGGGCGUAAAGCGUGCGCAGGCGGUUUUGGAAGUCAGGUGUGAAAUCCCCGGGCUCAACCUGGGAAUGGCAUUUGGGACUGCAAGGCUGGAGUGCGGCAGAGGAGACUGGAAUUCCUGGUGUAGCAGUGAAAUGCGUAGAUAUCAGGAGGAAUACCGAUGGCGAAGGCAGGUCUCUGGGCUGACACUGACGCUCAUGCACGAAAGCGUGGGGAGCAAACAGG